CUCUUUCUAAAUAGUGCAUUCAGAGUUUGAAAAUGCAGGAUGAACUAGACUGCAUCCCUUUCCAGCCUCCUUCCUUCUGUCACCAGCCUCGCAAGUUCUCCAAGGAGCCUUCUAUGCCCGCUUGCUCCUCCCCCCUCCCACCCAGCCUCCUCUCACCUUUGACCUCUCACCACCACCAGAGGCGGGGAGCGCGGUGGGAGAAGCAGUUUUUAUCUGUUACACAGGGACUGACCUACAGCUCUAAGAGCUGGAAUAAAACGAAAGCCCUCACCCUAGGAAGGAAUUCAGUCUCCUCCAUCGGCCCCCUUCUCCCAGCUCCCGGCUCCCCAUCCCCCACUGAGUGGGUUCCAAUCCCUGGGCCUUCUUGCUGGGAGCUCCAAGCUUCAGACCUGCUGUGGCCUCCACCUGGAACAUUCUUCCUCCAAAUCGUCCCUGGGCUCCCUUCCUCCUGUCAUGAAGCUCUCUGCUCAAACAGCACUUCUUCCCACCAUGGGUAAGCCGGCGCCCACCAGCCCCGUCCGUCCGUCUCCGUCGCAUUGCCCUGGUUUAUUUCCCUCGUGGUGCUCGUCACCAUCUGACCUUCACCAUGGAUUUGUCUAUUUAUUGUCUGUCUCCCUACCCAGGACACAGAUACCUUGAGGACAGGGACUUCAGGGAUUUGUUCCCGGCAUGUGAAAGGAAACAUUAUUCACUAAGUGGUUUCCUACCUCAAUAUUCAAAGUUUGAGCCAAGAAAGAAAGGAAGUGGAGAGCUACUGAGUACGCGUCAGGUGCUAAGGCUGGUAAGGCACAGAUUCACACCCAAAUCUGGCAGAUGCAGACACUGGGCGUCAGAGGAGCGGGCCACGCGGGCUUAAAUCACUGCCAAGAUGGAAAACUCCCUUACAGUAAACGCAUGUAACUACAGACAAUGAACAUUCCAAAAAACGAUGCUCCUUCCAAAAGACUCCAAAAAAUCACUCCAGCCAGACUCUUCAUAGCACCAUGGAGUUUCCCGAAAAGCAGAAGGAACUCUAAUUAGUCUUCUCAUCCAGUCUCUCUGUCCUCUGCACGACAUUCCUGUCAGACAAAUUUUAGCACCUGCUGGAACCGUCCCAAGGGCUGGGAUCCCUCAAUUCUGAGAGGCAGGUUUAUGAGCAAUGCCCUGCUUUGGUUCUGUCACUGUUCAAUAGGAAAUCUUAGAGCGGUAAGGACACAGACUAGAGCAAGAAAGAGAAGUAAGAAAGAAUCAAAUUCAGCAGGGUCUUGUAACUUAAACAAUACCAUAAACAAAGUAAAAAAUAAUAAUAAACUGGUAAAAAAAAUUUGCAAUACAUAGAAGAAUGAGGAUAAUUUCCCUAAUACACAAAAGCAUAUAUAUACAGCAAUUUGAAAAAAAUCCAAUUAAUAUAAAUAAGAAAAGGCUAUGAAUAGGCAGUUCAAAGGAAAAAAUAAUCAACAGAUAAAUGAAGAGUUUGUAUCUCAUACAUAAAGAAAUGCAAAUUCAAACAAUAAAAUGCUGUUUUUCACC
RNAcentral lists this long non-coding RNA (1509 nucleotides) under Equus caballus (horse). RNAcentral describes it as "lncRNA (ENSECAG00000057310.1)". Lineage: Eukaryota; Metazoa; Chordata; Mammalia; Perissodactyla; Equidae. The record is from RNAcentral.